AAGAACCGUAACACAGGUGCUGCAUGGCUGUCGUCAGCUCGUGUCGUGAGAUGUUGGGUUAAGUCCGCAACGAGCGCAACCCUUGUCAUUAGUUGCUACAUUCAGUUGGGCACUCUAAUGAGACUGCCGGUGACAAGCCGGAGGAAGGUGGGGAUGACGUCAAGUCCUCAUGGCCCUUAUAGGUGGGGCUACACACGUUAUACAAUGGCUGGUACAAAGGGUUGCCAACCCGCGAGGGGGAGCCAAUCCCAUAAAGCCAGUCGUAGUCCGGAUCGUAGUCUGCAACUCGACUACGUGAAGUCGGAAUCGCUAGUAAUCGUGGAUCAGAAUGUCACGGUGAAUACGUUCCCGGGUCUU
RNAcentral lists this ribosomal RNA (357 nucleotides) under uncultured Rhodoferax sp. Its description in RNAcentral is "bacterial SSU rRNA". It matches the Rfam family "Bacterial small subunit ribosomal RNA", at positions 1022 to 1382 of the family's 1533-position model. The record is from RNAcentral. Lineage: Bacteria; Pseudomonadati; Pseudomonadota; Betaproteobacteria; Burkholderiales; Comamonadaceae.